Aegilops tauschii subsp. strangulata is the source of this 121-nucleotide non-coding RNA. NCBI's taxonomy places the organism in Eukaryota, Viridiplantae, Streptophyta, Magnoliopsida, Poales, Poaceae. The record is from RefSeq and is a predicted model, not a curated record.
UGCUUUUCAAUUUGAGGGUCUUAUAGCUCAAAAUAAUUAGUAAAUGCAUGAAAAAUAACAAAUGAAGUCAGAAAGGGUUGAAAAGUGAUGAUGUGGAUUUGAAUGGUGCAUUUUGAACACA